Molecule: long non-coding RNA, 764 nt
Filed under: Salvia miltiorrhiza (redroot sage)
Lineage: Eukaryota; Viridiplantae; Streptophyta; Magnoliopsida; Lamiales; Lamiaceae
Description: long non-coding RNA (SMIL_LNC006233)
Source: RNAcentral
AGGCGGUGGGCGGUGGAAAGAGGGGGCGGCAUAUUUGGUGAUGGAGGUGGGGAAAGGCGGUGGACGGUGGAGAGAAAGGGGGCGAUGGAGUUCGCCGGACAUGGAGGAGGGGGAAGAGAAUUGGUUUUUUAUUUUAUUUUUUUGUUUUUUUUUGUUCUAUUUUUUUUCCAAGUUGUCAAUUUUUNCAUAGAGAAAGAGAACAAUUGAGAGAAGAGGGAGACAAUCAAGGGGGAGGCGAAGCCGACCGGAGGAAUGGGCGGUCGCUCGCCCGAAUUUCAGAGGCGGUGGCGCUACUCUAAUGGGCGGAAAAACGCGAGAGGGAGAGAGAGGAGGGGAGGCGGAUCCACGGGGUGGUGGGGAAAGGCGGUGGGCGGUGGAAAGAGGGGGCGGCAUAUUUGGUGAUGGAGGUGGGGAAAGGCGGUGGACGGUGGAGAGAAAGGGGGCGAUGGAGUUCGCCGGACAUGGAGGAGGGGGAAGAGAAUGGUUUUUUAUUUUAUUUUUUUGUUUUUUUUUUGUUCUAUUUUUUUUCCAAGUGUCAAUUUUUUACUCCAAAUAGGCGCCAUGUCAGCUUGAUAUUACCAUGUAGGUGACAAGUCAGCCCGAAGCUUCACCUGAAAAAAAAAUGUGGAAAAAUUGUUCAACCCCUUAAAUUCAAGGAAAUCCUGAUAAAAAAAAAGUUUAUGGAAAGUUUGGAAAUUGAGGUAUAGUUCAUGGCUUUUGGCGUAAUUAACCCAAUAAUUUAUAAAAUAUUUCGCGAGUUUGAU